ACGAAGGGGGCUAGCGUUGCUCGGAUUGACUGGGCGUAAAGGGCGCGUAGGCGGUUUGCAUAGUCAGACGUGAGAUUCCUGGGCUUAACCUGGGGGCUGCGUUUGAUACAUGCAGGCUUGAGUUCGGAAGAGGGUCGUGGAAUUCCCAGUGUAGAGGUGAAAUUCGUAGAUAUUGGGAAGAACACCGGUGGCGAAGGCGGCGUUCUGGACUGCAACUGACACUGAGAAACGAAAGCCAGGGUAGCAAACGGGA
This 253-nucleotide ribosomal RNA is filed under the name uncultured prokaryote. RNAcentral describes it as "partial 16S ribosomal RNA". It matches the Rfam family "Bacterial small subunit ribosomal RNA", at positions 525 to 777 of the family's 1533-position model. The record is from RNAcentral.